This is a long non-coding RNA of Brachypodium distachyon (stiff brome), 592 nucleotides long. RefSeq lists it as uncharacterized. The record is from RefSeq and is a predicted model, not a curated record. Lineage: Eukaryota; Viridiplantae; Streptophyta; Magnoliopsida; Poales; Poaceae. The transcript is spliced from 2 exons.
CCUUCCCGCCGCAGCAGCGGGUCUGAGCGGCCUGGACAGCGGCCCAGCCCCCCUCCCUCUCUCUCCCUCCCCGCCGCAGCAGCGAGUCGCAACAGUGGUCUCCUCCUGGAUCGGUGACGACGCCAUCCCUUGCUCGACUCUGGCGAUUGGCGUGGGAAGAAUCUAGCGACCGGAUUGGGAGGGCUCGAGCGAGAAGAACGGGCAGCUCGGCGAAUGUACACCACCACCGGCCGGCGCCAAAUGACUCCAGAGACCACGAGCGCGGCAACUCCGGCGAUCAGGCUGGGCUCUUCCUGUACCAGUAAACUGUCCCUAAGCUUGACCAUGGAGGCUUCAAGGUGUUCUGGUGAUUGGGCCGAGCCGGGAAGGUUGUAGUAAAAUCUGGGCAAUAAUAUGAACCUUAGGGUUCUUAUGUGUAAUUUUGGUUACGAGGUUCAUUUGUUUUAUUUUGAUGCCGGUAAUGGAGCUGUGUUUUAAUUUCCAUUCCUUUUUGUUUGUCAAUGAAAUUAUGCUUGCUCAUUUUGCUUUGCAUUAUGUGUCCCACUACUGUAGUUCAUAGGUGUAAAUAUGAUGCAAUGAAGUUACUUCUGAA